Molecule: ribosomal RNA, 478 nt
Filed under: uncultured bacterium
Lineage: Bacteria
Description: partial 16S ribosomal RNA
Rfam family: Bacterial small subunit ribosomal RNA
Source: RNAcentral
GACGAACGCUGGCGGCGUGCUUAACACAUGCAAGUCGAACGGUAAGGCCCUUCGGGGUACACGAGUGGCGAACGGGUGAGUAACACGUGGGUGAUCUGCCCUGCACUUCGGGAUAAGCCUGGGAAACUGGGUCUAAUACCGGAUAGGACUCCUGGCUUCAUGGUUGGGGGUGGAAAGCUUUUGCGGUGUGGGAUGGGCCCGCGGCCUAUCAGCUUGUUGGUGGGGUAAUGGCCUACCAAGGCGACGACGGGUAGCCGGCCUGAGAGGGUGGCCGGUCACACUGGGACUGAGAUACGGCCCAGACUCCUACGGGAGGCAGCAGUGGGGAAUAUUGCACAAUGGGCGCAAGCCUGAUGCAGCGACGCCGCGUGAGGGAUGACGGCCUUCGGGUUGUAAACCUCUUUCAGCUAUGACGAAGCGCAAGUGAUGGUAGUAGCAGAAGAAGGACCGGCCAACUACGUGCCAGCAGCCGCAGUAA